CACGUAGGGCGCGAGCGUUGUCCGGAAUUAUUGGGCGUAAAGAGCUCGUAGGCGGCCUGUUGCGUCCGCUGUGAAAGCCCGGGGCUUAACCCCGGGUCGGCAGUGGAUACGGGCAGGCUAGAGGUAGGUAGGGGAGAAUGGAAUUCCCGGUGUAGCGGUGAAAUGCGCAGAUAUCGGGAGGAACACCGGUGGCGAAGGCGGUCUGCUGGGGUGAGGCUGAGCUGAUGCGCGACAGCGUGGGGAGCAAACAGG
This 252-nucleotide ribosomal RNA is filed under the name uncultured bacterium. Its description in RNAcentral is "partial 16S ribosomal RNA". It matches the Rfam family "Bacterial small subunit ribosomal RNA", at positions 524 to 776 of the family's 1533-position model. The record is from RNAcentral.